UGUUCUACAUAAGUGCUGAAUGCGAUACUCAUCAGCGUACAACGAUGGUAGCAGAAGUGAUAACAGAUUAUUCGGCAUUGAUCAGUAACUUAACGGAUAUGAGCGUACCAUUCCAUGUACUGGAAUACACCAUUACACCGCACAAUAUUGGUCCUGAACGACUAAAACUGUCCGGUCGGUACGUAUUCCUUGCACCACUUGAUAAUUGCAUCUACUUUGUCGGGUUCGAGGACGUAAUAUAUGAAUCCGAUAUCAUUCAGAUCAUCAGUAAUCUAGUUGAAAAAAAUUCCAUUACCAGUAUCUACAGGAUUCAGCGUGGGAAUG
Long non-coding RNA from Ochlerotatus camptorhynchus, 324 nucleotides. RefSeq lists it as uncharacterized. The record is from RefSeq and is a predicted model, not a curated record. The transcript has 3 exons. NCBI's taxonomy places the organism in Eukaryota, Metazoa, Arthropoda, Insecta, Diptera, Culicidae.